Molecule: long non-coding RNA, 225 nt
Filed under: Anser brachyrhynchus (Pink-footed goose)
Lineage: Eukaryota; Metazoa; Chordata; Aves; Anseriformes; Anatidae
Description: lncRNA (ENSABRG00000012718.1)
Source: RNAcentral
AGCUUUGCUGAUGAUAUCUGUAUCUUAAAAAGUGAGGAGGUUUUUGAGUCUUUAAGAAGCCGCUGGGAUGUUAAUUUCAAGCUGGAUCGGGACAUUUGGGAAGAUUCUUGUUUUAUCACAGAAGCUCCUGCCCUGAAGAAGUCAGAUCCUAAGACAAAGACAAGAGUUUCCCAUUACAACUGCAGUUCAAGAGGCUCUACAGUCAGGGCAAGUUGGAAGGGAUGA